Molecule: transfer RNA, 77 nt
Filed under: Fusobacterium mortiferum
Lineage: Bacteria; Fusobacteriati; Fusobacteriota; Fusobacteriia; Fusobacteriales; Fusobacteriaceae
Description: tRNA-Asp
Rfam family: tRNA
About the family: Transfer RNA (tRNA) molecules are approximately 80 nucleotides in length. Their secondary structure includes four short double-helical elements and three loops (D, anti-codon, and T loops).
Source: RNAcentral
GGGGGUGUAGCUCAGUUGGUUAGAGCGCAUGCCUGUCACGCAUGAGGUCGCGAGUUCGCCCCUCGUCCCUCCCGCCA